RNAcentral lists this ribosomal RNA (916 nucleotides) under archaeon enrichment culture clone EAr-c21. Its description in RNAcentral is "bacterial SSU rRNA". It matches the Rfam family "Archaeal small subunit ribosomal RNA", at positions 1 to 922 of the family's 1478-position model. The record is from RNAcentral.
UUCCGGUUGAUCCUGCCAGAGGCUACUGCUAUCGGGGUCCGACUAAGCCAUGCGAGUUGAGAGGGGUAAGCCCUCGGCACAUUGCUCAGUAACACGCGGAUAACCUGCCCUUGGGUUUGGGAUAACCCCGGGAAACUGGGACUAAUACCGGAUAGAUCAAAGAAACUGGAAUGUUCUCUGAUCGAAAGCUCCGGCGCCCAAGGAUGGGUCUGCGGCCUAUCAGGUAGUAGUGGGUGUAACGUACCUACUAGCCUACGACGGGUAAGGGUUGUGAGAGCAAGAGCCCUGAGAUGGAUUCUGAGACAUGAAUCCAGGCCCUACGGGGUGCAGCAGGCGCGAAAACUUUACACUGCGGGAAACCGCGAUAAGGGGACCCCGAGUGCCAGCACCUAGUGCUGGCUGUCCAGCUGUUCAAAUAACAGUUGUUAGCAAGGGCCGGGCAAGACCGGUGCCAGCCGCCGCGGUAACACCGGCGGCCCGAGUGGUAGCCGUUAUUAUUGGGUUUAAAGGGUCCGUAGCCGGCCUAUUAAGUCUCUUGGGAAAUCUGGCGACUCAAUCGUCAGGCGUUCAAGAGAUACUGGUAGGCUUGGGACCGGGAGAGGUGGGAGGUACUCCAGGGGUAGGGGUGAAAUCUCGUAAUCCUUGGGGGACCGCCGAUGGCGAAGGCAUCCCACCAGAACGGGUCCGACGGUGAGGGACGAAAGCUGGGGGCACGAACCGGAUUAGAUACCCGGGUAGUCCCAGCCGUAAACGAUGCUCGCUAGGUGUCAGGUGCGGUGCGACCGCAUCUGGUGCCGCAGUGAAAACUUGAAGCGAGUCACCUGGGAAGUACGGUCGCAAGGCUGAAACUUAAAGGAAUUGGCGGGGGAGCACUACAACGGGUGGAGCCUGCGGUUCAAUUGGAUUCAACGCCGGG